This 308-nucleotide long non-coding RNA is filed under the name Ananas comosus (pineapple). RNAcentral describes it as "long non-coding RNA (ACOM_LNC009043)". Lineage: Eukaryota; Viridiplantae; Streptophyta; Magnoliopsida; Poales; Bromeliaceae. The record is from RNAcentral.
AACUCUAUGUAUUAGAGUCUAAUUGGUUCAUGAGAUAUGGGUAUGAGUUUAUGGGAUUUGGGUAUUGGUUCAUGGGAUAUGGGUAUUAGGUUGGAUGUAUGGUUCAUGGGAUUUGGUCCAUAAACUUGGUUUUGGCUCAUGGGAUUUGGUCCAUGAGGUUUGGUUUUGGUUCAUGGGAUUUGGUCCAUGAACUUGGUUUUGGCUUCAUGGGAUUUGGUCCAUGAGGUUUGGUUUUGGUUUAUGGGAUUUGGUCCAUGAACUUGGUUUUGGUUUAUGGGAUUUGGUCCAUGAACUUGGUUUUGGCUUAU